CUCGGGUAAAGCCGUUGGGUGAUCAAGCUAUCUUGCCGCCAUUUUUCCGCCAGUUUCCAGCACGACCUCCUCUCAAAAGGUACUACAAAAGCCCCUCAGGCUUUUGUAGUACCUUUUGUAGGUAGCACAUUUCCGAUAACGCGAUAACGUUAGUGGUUCAGCCAGCUGAACCGCUGAGCGGCUGAGCCUGGCCGUAUCCAAUCCAAUGCAAUCCCGUAAAAGUCCACCAUGUUUGAAGGCCUUUCUUGAACUCGACUCCUCUUCUAGGAUGAAAGCAAGUGGUAGGGACUGUUUUACAGCGUCCAUCGCUCCUUUUUCUGAAGGGAGGGACGUCGUGAAAAGCGAUGAGCUAGUGAGUUCCAACAGGCCGAACGGCAGCGGCGCCGUGCAGCCCUCGACGGCUGCACCCGUGAACCGACCUCAGCUGAGCAGAGAAACACUACGACUAGAAAUCCAAAAGAAGAAGCUUCUCCUAGGCACCGUGAAAAAGUGCUGCCUGCCAGAUGGAGGGGCGCGGCUGGUUCAGCAACUAGAGGAGCUGGAGGAACGGCUCUCCUGCCUGGAUCUCGCCGGGGCAGGGCAGGAGGCCGGCAGCCCAGAAACCCUCCGCGAGCGCAGAGACGCAGAGCCGGCGGCGCAUCCCACGGCGGCAGAGGCCUCAAGGCCGACUAAUGCGCCCUCCGGAGAGGUUAGGCCACAGAAGGCCGGAACCAAGGGUGUGCUGCUCACUUCCCCUCUGCCCCUGGCAAAAGAAACGAAAAACACAAAAGCGGGCGGGCAGGCAACGCUGGGUACGAGGGGGCGGCCUUCCCCUCCCCCCAGCUCCCCGCACCUGCGUGCUUUCCUCGAGAGCCUGGAGAGCUGUCCCGGGGAGGAUGAGGAGUCUGGUCAGCCCAGAGGGGUCCUCACUCCUCUGAUGCCCCACCAGAAGCAGGCCCUGAGCUGGAUGCUCUGGAGGGAGACACAGGACCCCAGAGGGGGCAUCCUGGCGGACGCCAUGGGUCUGGGCAAGACGCUCACGGUGCUGGCUCUGAUCCAGAAGCAGCUGGAGGCAAGCAGCGGAGAUCCUCCAGGUGGUGGCACCCUGGUGGUGUGCCCGGUGUCCCUGGUGCACCAGUGGGCGGGGGAGGCCAAGCGGCACCUGGCACCCCCCUUGCGCGCGCACGUACACCACGGCAAGGGCCGGGCUUCCCACGCCAGCGAGCUGGCACGCCACCGCCUGGUGGUCACGAGCUACGAGACUGUGAGCAGCGAGUGGGACAAGUGGCGGCAGGCCUCGGAGACGGCAGACGGCCCGGUGAAGCCCGGGGCAUCUGUGCGGGGACCCGCUGCCCUGUUUGGAGUGUCGUGGCAGCGCGUCGUCCUGGACGAAGCGCACGUGGUGCGCAACCUGCGCACCCGGAGAGCCAAGGCCGUGCGAGCCCUCUCAUCCCACGCGCGCUGGGCCGUCACGGGGACACCCGUGCACAACGACUUGGGAGACCUGCGUUCCCUGCUCAAAUUCCUACGGUGCCGGCCUUUUGACGACGACGGCUUCUGGAGUCGCUGGAGCCGGGACCACCCCGGACCAGACUCCAUGGCUGUGGUUGUCAAGUGCCUCCUCCUGCGCAGGACCAAAGACCAGAAGGGCAAGGACAACCAGCCCCUGGUGCCCCUUCCAGAGCGAACAGUGGUGCUGCACAAGCUGCGAUUGGCGGGCACGGAGGCCAGGCUGUACGAGGACAUCGACCGCUGGUCGAGGUUGACGGAGCCGGAAAAGUAUGUGGACCCCGUGAGCAAGAAGGAGUUGUACCGCAACGUUGGAUCGAGGCGUUUCGUGGCACUGAUCCGUUUGCAGCAGGCCUGCUCGCACCCUGCGCUUCUCAAGAGGAGGGUGCUCGAGGACGCAGAGGUGGACUGCGACGACCUGCUGGCCGCGUGUUUCUCGGGCCUGAGCUUGAACAAAACGGCGGACCAGGGACUGGACGUUCUGGACAAGUACUCCCGCUGUUCCGAGAUGGAGCGCUCCUUCACCAGCUGCAAGCGUGGUGCUGUCCAAGUGGACGUCCCUGCUUGCCCUGGUCGAGGAGCACCUGGGACGCCGCGCCAUCCCGUGCGCCACCAUCCAGGGCAGCGUGCCGGGCCAGAGGCGAGCCGAAAUUGUGCAUUCCUUCAACCGAGACCCCCGGGGGCCUAAGGUGCUGCUCCUGUCCCUAGAGGCGGGAGGCGUCGGCCUGAACUUGAUCGGAGCCAAUCACAUGUUCGCCUUGGACGUCCACUGGAACCCAGCUAUGGAGGCACAGGCGUUCGACCGCAUUCAU
Molecule: unclassified non-coding RNA, 2300 nt
Filed under: Ixodes scapularis (black-legged tick)
Lineage: Eukaryota; Metazoa; Arthropoda; Arachnida; Ixodida; Ixodidae
Description: transcription termination factor 2, transcript variant X2
Source: RNAcentral